CCUCCUCCAUGUCAUUGAUACUCUUUCUGACAUCCUAUACUAUCUUGGGCUGUAAGAAUGUCUCACUUACCUUCUGUAGGUUUUAUGACUCCAGAAUUCACUGUGAGAAGUUAUUUUAAAGUUGUUUAAAGGUGAAUGGUGUAAGCGCUUUGAUGUGUGCUUUUAUACUCUGCCAUCUUGGCUCUGCCCCUAGAAGUCCUUCAUAUAUAACUUCUUACUGUUCUUUUCCAAGCUUCUUCAAGGUCUCAGAUUUAACGGUAGUCCAUACUUCAGCUUUACUGCACCUUCUUCCCAUGUGGUUCUCCAGGUUGUUUCAGGAGAGAGAAAUGUGCCUUAUAUUACUCCUGAAAUAUAAAUAUCUGGGAUUUCUUCUCUUCUGCCAUCCAUCAGGUGUAGCUACACUGGCUGCUUCUUCCAGGACAAGGGAGACAGAUCUUCACAUGAGCCCAUCUAGGAAAAAAGUUCUUCCCUUCCAGCAGGCUGCUUGGAGAAGACCUUGGAGACAUCAGCAGAGAACAGCCUGACGGGGAGGAAGGAGCAGCGGAGGGAGGACUCCAGCCCACUGAAGCAAGUAGUGCGCAGUCCAAUGAUGGCACCAGAGGACGGGAGGGACGGCUCCUCAAGGGAACCAGCAGCAACGUGGGAGGUGGUGAUUCUUGAAGGGAUACCACCUAAAGCAUGUGAGGUGACCAGGCUGGGCAUGUUUCCUGGGCACACGCAUGACCCUCCGUUCAUGUUCCCUGGCUAUACAUGUUCUGGUGUCCACCUGUGGGAGAGGCGGUGGGGAAGGGAAGACCUAUCUUGCAAUUACAUUGUUAUGCUGCCUAAUUAAAUAGCAGCACGAAUGUGCUCUCUGGUUGGCUGGCAGAAGAACCACAUCAUCUUCUGGGUGGCAUUUAUAUAGCACCUUAAGGUUUACAAAUUACUUUACAUAGAUUAUCUCCUUUGAGAUCCCAGGAAUCCAGGAAUAUUAUUAUCCUCUCUUUAGAUGAAGAAAUUGAGUUUGAGAAACUGACUCACCCAGAGCCCAUAGUUAAAUAAGUGUCCGAGGCAGGAUUUGAACCUGGGUCUUCCUGAGUCCAGGUCCAAUGCUCUAUGUUCCAGGUCUAGCACUGUCACCAUGAGUGGGUGUUCAUGACCCACAGUUUUGAGUGGAUACUAAUGCACAGUGUACCUCAAAGCUAUGGUUGCUUUCAGAUGGUACCAUGGUGGAAGGGGUCUGGGGGAAUCACAUGCUUGUCCCUCUAAAGGUGAUAUCUCUAUAAAAGAGAUUUUAACUGAGACUCAAAAAAAGCCAGGAAACAGAGAUAAUAAAUAUUAAUUAAAACUAAAAAUAAUACUAAAU
Molecule: long non-coding RNA, 1345 nt
Filed under: Monodelphis domestica (gray short-tailed opossum)
Lineage: Eukaryota; Metazoa; Chordata; Mammalia; Didelphimorphia; Didelphidae
Description: lncRNA (ENSMODG00000047807.1)
Source: RNAcentral